GACGGGGGGGGCAAGUGUUCUUCGGAAUGACUGGGCGUAAAGGGCACGUAGGCGGUGAAUCGGGUUGAAAGUGAAAGUCGCCAAAAAGUGGCGGAAUGCUCUCGAAACCAAUUCACUUGAGUGAGACAGAGGAGAGUGGAAUUUCGUGUGUAGGGGUGAAAUCCGUAAAUAUACGAAGGAACGCCAAAAGCGAAGGCAGCUCUCUGGGUCCCUGCCGACGCUGGGGUGCGAAAGCAUGGGGAGCGAACAGG
Molecule: ribosomal RNA, 251 nt
Filed under: uncultured bacterium
Lineage: Bacteria
Description: partial 16S ribosomal RNA
Rfam family: Bacterial small subunit ribosomal RNA
Source: RNAcentral